AUUGAACGCUGGCGGCAUGCUUUACACAUGCAAGUCGAACGGCAGCGCGGGCUUCGGCCUGGCGGCGAGUGGCGAACGGGUGAGUAAUGCAUCGGAACGUGCCCAGUAGUGGGGGAUAGCCCGGCGAAAGCCGGAUUAAUACCGCAUACGACCUGAGGGUGAAAGCGGGGGACCGAAAGGCCUCGCGCUAUUGGAGCGGCCGAUGUCGGAUUAGCUAGUUGGUGGGGUAAAGGCUUACCAAGGCGACGAUCCGUAGCUGGUCUGAGAGGACGACCAGCCACACUGGGACUGAGACACGGCCCAGACUCCUACGGGAGGCAGCAGUGGGGAAUUUUGGACAAUGGGGGCAACCCUGAUCCUGCCAUGCCGCGUGCGGGAAGAAGGCCUUCGGGUUGUAAACCGCUUUUGUUCGGGAAGAAAUACUCUGGGCUAAUACCCCGGGGGGAUGACGGUACCGGAAGAAUAAGCACCGGCUAACUACGUG
This 484-nucleotide ribosomal RNA is filed under the name uncultured bacterium. Its description in RNAcentral is "partial 16S ribosomal RNA". It matches the Rfam family "Bacterial small subunit ribosomal RNA", at positions 28 to 507 of the family's 1533-position model. The record is from RNAcentral.